GAUGAACGCUAGCGGGAGGCCUAACACAUGCAAGUCGAACGGGAUUGGUAGCAAUACCAUGAGAGUGGCGCACGGGUGAGUAACGCGUAUGCAACCUACCUUUAACUGGGGGAUAGCCCGAAGAAAUUCGGAUUAAUACCGCAUAAGAUUACAGAUCUGCAUGGAUUAGUAAUUAAAACUCAGGUGGUUAAAGAUGGGCAUGCGUGACAUUAGCUAGUUGGUAAGGUAACGGCUUACCAAGGCUACGAUGUCUAGGGGUUCUGAGAGGAUGAUCCCCCACACUGGUACUGAGACACGGACCAGACUCCUACGGGUGGCUG
This 320-nucleotide ribosomal RNA is filed under the name uncultured Bacteroidota bacterium. Its description in RNAcentral is "bacterial SSU rRNA". It matches the Rfam family "Bacterial small subunit ribosomal RNA", at positions 28 to 351 of the family's 1533-position model. Lineage: Bacteria; Pseudomonadati; Bacteroidota. The record is from RNAcentral.